This 490-nucleotide ribosomal RNA is filed under the name uncultured bacterium. Its description in RNAcentral is "partial 16S ribosomal RNA". It matches the Rfam family "Bacterial small subunit ribosomal RNA", at positions 30 to 507 of the family's 1533-position model. The record is from RNAcentral.
AUUGAACGCUGGCGGCAUGCUUUACACAUGCAAGUCGGACGGCAGUACAGAGAAGCUUGCUUCUUGGGUGGCGAGUGGCGAACGGGUGAGUAAUAUAUCGGAACGUACCGAGUAAUGGGGGAUAACUAAUCGAAAGAUUAGCUAAUACCGCAUAUUCUCUGAGGAGGAAAGCAGGGGACCUUCGGGCCUUGCGUUAUUCGAGCGGCCGAUAUCUGAUUAGCUAGUUGGUGGGGUAAAGGCCUACCAAGGCGACGAUCAGUAGCGGGUCUGAGAGGAUGAUCCGCCACACUGGGACUGAGACACGGCCCAGACUCCUACGGGAGGCAGCAGUGGGGAAUUUUGGACAAUGGGCGCAAGCCUGAUCCAGCCAUGCCGCGUGUCUGAAGAAGGCCUUCGGGUUGUAAAGGACUUUUGUCAGGGAAGAAAAGGCUGUUGCUAAUACCGACAGCUGAUGACGGUACCUGAAGAAUAAGCACCGGCUAACUACGUG